This 876-nucleotide long non-coding RNA is filed under the name Pan troglodytes (chimpanzee). Its description in RNAcentral is "lincRNA". The record is from RNAcentral. Lineage: Eukaryota; Metazoa; Chordata; Mammalia; Primates; Hominidae.
GGUGGCAAAGCCUGUGGAGUACUCACCUACCUGCUGCAUGAAGGCAGCAUGGAGGGACUGUGGUGGAUUAUCUGCAAAGAUGGCCAAAAUUCUCUCAUCCCUGCAGGCACAUACAAGAUGCCAGAAUCAGUCAAAACUAAGCUCACUGUCCUUGCUAAUAUUCUGCCCCAGAGAAGAACUGAAGCUCAGCUAUUCACCCUACAGAAAGCCUGAAUUUUGUAAAAGUUCUGCUUAGAAUGAGGAAGAAAGAUGAAGAAUGAGGAGGAAGAAGGGAGGAACAAGAGAGAGAGGUUGUUGCAUGGCAUAAGUAAAAUGACAGCCAAAGGAUACAUGCAACUUUUCAGGGACAAAGAUCUGUGCAGCAUCGACAGUACUGCCUAAUGAGGUUUCACCAUAAUGAAGUAUUACAACCAGUUUACAGACCAGAAAACUGAGACACAGGAAGGGGUGGUGACUUGAGCAAGGUGCAUCAGCUGGAAAUUGAGGUAUACGGAAUGCUUAUUUGGUUUACUCAGUAUCAUCCUAAAUGUAUGUACCAAUGCUUAGGAGUUUGCAGUUCACCCGCAAACCUCAGCGAUCCAAGCUCCCCUGGAUGACCAUCACUCACCAAGAAAAGAACAAUAACAGGACCUGUUUUGCUAAUCCAGGACUGUUCUCCAGCACUAACUCUAAAUAAUCCCUUCUGCUAGAGUCCACUUUCUGGAACCUGUUGCCUCCGUUUUCAACGUUUCCCAAACUUGGUCCGUUGUGUGAGCUGGCUGAUAAAAGUUCCAGGGAGAGGACAUCUUACUCUUAUUGGAUCAUGCACAGUGCCUGAAGCAUUCUGUUGCAUGUAGAAAUCAGUAAAUUGCAGAUGUAAGAUUCAAAACCAGACUU